This is a long non-coding RNA of Myzus persicae (green peach aphid), 735 nucleotides long. RefSeq lists it as uncharacterized. The record is from RefSeq and is a predicted model, not a curated record. The transcript is spliced from 3 exons. NCBI's taxonomy places the organism in Eukaryota, Metazoa, Arthropoda, Insecta, Hemiptera, Aphididae.
UGGACAACACCGCGUGAACUGGGGCGUGUCGAGCGAUGCAGUUUUCGACGAAGAACGAACGGUUCGCACCGCUGCGAGGCGUCGGUAUACCGACGAUGACCAGCCGCGGAGUCACGCGACGAAUGAGGUCAUACCAAAAACCUUACAGCCAAACCAUAGACAAAUAUGACGAAAAUUAUACAGAAUUAUAGAUGAUUUUGAACACAACACAUGAUGAUAAAGCUGCAGGCAAUAAAACAGUAGAAUCAAAUUAAUAAUUAUGAGGCUACUGAUGAUACUAUUAUGAACAUUGACAAAAAGUUAACUGUUGAUGUAUAUAACAGAGUAUUUGAUACAAUAUUAUACAAAGUAUGGAAAACCGAUAUACAAAUAAUAAAGAAAUACUUAUUAAUCUAAUAUUAUUAUCACUUUUCAUUUUGAUUCAUUUGUGAAUGGACUACCUAAGAAUGCUUUUGUUAAAUUAAUUGCAAAAUUAAAACCAUAUUUUGACGAAGACAAUGAAAAUUAAAUAAAAAAUAAACUAUCUGAAGAAAGUUUUUCAAAAUCUUGGAAACACUUAAAGAAACCUGUAGAUGAUAAAUAUACUGCAGAACUGUACUUAAAUAACAGUGUUUGGAAAGAACGUCAUUCAUGAACUCACAUUCACAAGUUCAUACUUAGUGAACAAUAAGUAAACAUCACUCGUUUUUUUCAAAUUGAACGACAUUUAUAAUUUAAUAAAUUUGAACAAUUUUU